AGUCACUGUCAGGGGACCUCCCACCCACCAUACAGGGGAACACUCGGCAGAGCCAGAGGCCUGGGCCCAAGUCCUGCCACCAGCUGGCUGUGAAACUGUGGUACAGCACCUUGUGUCCUGCCACCAGCCGGCUGUGAAACUGGUACAGCACCUUGUCCUCAGGUCCUUGGUUUCCUCACUUGUAAAUUCAUGGUUCUCCAUGGCAUCUCUGGUCUUCAACAUUAUUUUGCAUAGAGUCUCAGAAGCUUUAGUGUGAGCGGAUGAUAUGGGCACGAAGCAAGGCACCCAGAAGUGGGGGCAACUACUCUGCUUUCUAAAAUGCAAGGGAACCGGAAAAUCCAGGAGCCGUGCCAAAUGAGAAGAGGAACAAAUGGAGGAACAUCCCAGUCAAGUGACAUUCCUAGUGACAUUCACCAGAACAGAGUCAAGCUUUGGAUCCCAUGUUCUGUGACUUCCUCUUCACCACGCUUCCUCCACACACGUAGCAGCUCAAGGGUUUCUGAUGAGUGGGGAAAUGACUUACUGCAAAGAACCACUCUUCCCCACGAGACUUCGAGAAGACCCGCUGUCACGGACUGAGUUGUGUCCUCUUAAAAUUCAGAUGUUGGAGUCCAAACCCCCAGUAACUCAGAGUGUGAACGUAUUUGAAGAGGUCUUUAAAGAGGUGAUGAAGGUCUUUGUCUCUGACAAUUUGCCUCUGUGACGUGGAUGGGACUGGAAGUCCAUUUGGAGCCCUGUCUUCUCCACCUAGGGAGAGAGACCCCAUGAGCUCGUCAAGCUCCUUCUGUGACUGAUCAGAGAUCCCACCGUGAGUCCAGCUCCUGGUCCCAUGCUCUGGAUAUAUCGGUCCCUGGCAGCGUGAGUGCCUCUGUGUUCACUGUCCCAUUUGAGAAUUCUAAGUAGAAUUCUGAACAGGCUGGAGCAGAUUGCCCACCCCAAGGGACAGAUGUUGGCUGGUACUGUUGGUAUUCAUGGAAGAUUCCUUCUGACACUCCCUCCUUCUUUGUAAUUGCCAUGAACUGGAGCACUGGGCCAAUAUAAAUCAUCCAAGGGUGAACACGCUGCACAUGGACGGCUCCUCUUUGUUUUUGAAGGGAUUCCAUCUCUAUUUUGCCAUGUGCUCCUUCACCCCACUCCCCACCCCCGUCUUUCAUUUCUUUCUCUGGAAAAGAUACUUCAACUCACAGGACUGCGAUGUUGAAACGGACACCCAAGAGCAUCACAGAUGGGCCAGGCCUGGACCUCUCGGGACAACAUUCCUCACGACUUUUAGAUAGAAGAGAUUAGAGAUUUGGGACUGGUGGCAACUGGUAACGUUUUCAGUGUUUGGUAAACAGCCAGGGUCCGGAGCUCUGGGAACAGCCUGAUUUAGCUCUUUGUUUAAGUUUUGUGUUAGAGGCUCCCAAGAAGCUGAUGCAGGGGAAAGAAAUUAACAACCAUGGCUCAUUCACAGCCAGGCAGCCAAAUGGACAGCUCUAUAAGACUCAAGCCGACAGCGGAGAGAGUGCAACCAAACAGCCUUGGCCCAGCUUUCAGAGGAGAACGUUAUUCACCCCAACUGCUCUGCAUCUGCCUGGAUGUCUGCCAAGAUCUGUGAGCAUUACAGCGUUGGUAUGCUUUGGGUGAGGCCUGUGGCUAUGGCAACAAGUUGGGAGCAACCCGGUCCCUGGGAAUGAGAACAGUGUCUAAAAUCAGGCAGGCGAGGGGCAGGGAGGAGAGGUAAAGGUUGGACUUGCCUGAAGAUGGAGCCGUUUUAUUGUUGUGGGUAAAGCUGCUACCAUUAGGGGCUGUUUACAGAGUGGGUGCAGCUCAAGCUGGGAGCAUGUUAGACUCAGCGACUACGAUCAACCUAUUGACUUGUUCCCAUGAGACAGAGUAAAUUAACUGUUGCAGUACUGGUCAUGUACCACCAACCUCCUGUGAACCAGCCCUCAGUGAAACAUUUAUGUGAAAGGCCAUGGUGUUCCCAUAAGAGGGUGCAUGUUCUCUCCCUUGACUAACUCUUCAGUAUGCCUCAUUCUCACGCGCUGGUGUGCAGGAAGGAGUCCAACAUGCCCCAUUGACAGUCAUGCCCUGUAUGUGGAAAGUCUUCAGGUAGAGCACUGGGCUCAGGUUUGAAGAUGUGAGUUCUAAUCCUAGCAAGGCCAUUACCUCCCAGUGACCUCAUGUCUCGAUUUCCUCAACCACAAAACAAAGGCAUUGGUGAGCUGACCUCUAAGGCCUCUCCAGUUCUCACCUUCUGUGUCUCUACAGACUGGAGACUAGAAGAUUAUGGGCACUUUUAUUGAGUCUUCAUUUUGUUUCCAUUUCUUUGUAGUCAUCAGCUGGAGUUGAGGACAAGUUUUAACAAUAGAUAGGUUUCUUUUUGUCUCUUUUUAAAAAAUUUUAUUUAAAAUAAAUGCCAAGUGUAGUGGCUCAUACCUGUAAUCCCAGCACUUUGGGGAGGCCAAGGUGGGAGGAUUGCUUUUGAGUUUGAGACCAGCCUGGGCAACGUGGUGAGACCCUGUUUGUACAAAAAAUUUUAAAUUAGCCAGGCAUGGUGGCGUGUGCCUAUAGUCCUAGCUACUCUGGAGGUAGAGGCAGGAGGAUCCCUUGAACCUGGGAGGUUGAGGCCACAGUGAGCUGUGAUUGUGCUAUUGAACUCUAGCCUGGGCAACAGAGCAAGACCCUGUCUCUUAAAAAAGACUAUUUUUUAAGAACACUUUUAGGUUCACAGCGAAAUUUGGAGGAAACUUGGCAUAUGUCAUAUGCCCCCUGCUCCCAUGCAUGCACAGCCUCUACCAUUAGCAAUGUCCCCACUCAAAUGGUACCUUUGUUGUAAUCAACAACCCUGUACUGACACAUCAUCAUCACCCAAACUCCAUAGUUCACAUUAGGUUUCACUCUUGGUGUGGUGUACAUUCCAUGGGCUUGAACAACUGUAUAAUGACAUUAUCCACCACUGCAGGAUCAUACAGAGUAGUCUCACUGCCCUAAAACUACUCUGUGCUCCACCUGUUUGUCCCUUCUUUCACUCUAAACUCCUGGCAACAACUGACCUUUUUACUGCCUCGAUAGCUUUGCCUUCUUCGGAAUGUCAUGUAGUUGAAAUCAUACAUCAUGAAGCCUUUUCAGAUUGGCUUCAUAUAGGUUUCCUUCCUUCCUUCCUCCCACCACCUUCCUUUCUUUCUGUAUUCCUAACUCUUGGAUGUAUUUUCCCCAGCAUCAUGACUUGAUGGGACUUUUGCUAAGAUAGGCAAUCAUAGAAAGUCAUAAAUCUCUUGUCAGCCUUAUUGGCUCACCUCCGAGAUGGUUCCAACACUCUUUAAGGCCCACUUUUCCAAUCCACAGAUUCCCCAGCAGAAGUCCAAGCUGCUGAGCCUCACAUCAUCUUUUGCACUAGUAAUCUUUACCACUACUUCACUGUAGCAUUUGAAAAUUUUCAUAUGAAGCCAUAGUUCUGUGUCUUUUUUUUUUUUUUUUUUUUUUUGGAGACGGAGUCUUAACCUGUUGCCCAGGCUGGAGUGCAGUGGCACAGUCUUAGCUCACUGCAAGCUCCGCCUCACGGGUUCAAGUGAUUCUUGCCUCAGCCUCCCAAGUAGCUGGGAUUACAGGCGCGCCACCAUGCCCAGCUAAAUUUGUUGGCAUUUUUAGUAGAGAUGGGGUUUCACCAUGUUGGCCAGGCUGGUCUCAAACUCCUUACCUCAGGUGAUCUGCCUGCCUCAGCCUCCCAAAGUGCUGGGAUUAAAGGUGUGAGCCACCGCACCUGGCCUGAAGCCAUAGUUCUUAACCUCAGUUGUGCAAUAGAAUUAUCUGGGGAAUUUAAAAAUUAGAAAAAACCCAUGCCCUGAAGAUUGUGAUCUAACUGGUCUUGCGUAGCGCCUGGGCAUUGGUAUUUUUUAAAUGUUUCCCAACUGAUACUAAUGUGGCCAUUCUGCAAGCCACAGUUGAAAGGCUUAUUCAAGCAUCCUGUUGCUGAAUGCAUGUCGUCCUUACCACAUGACUCUGGAGGUUUUCUUGUAUUCUGAUGUGGCUGCCCUGUUGAGGCCUGCCCCUUAGAGUGGAGAUUAUCCCCUGCAGUAGGCUGCCUGGAAUAUGAUCCCCAGUGAUCCCUGCUUCCUGGUAUUCAGGCCCUGGUGUGAUCCCUUUCCCUUGAAGCCUGGGCUGGAUUAGUGACUUGCUUCUAACCAACAGCAUAUGGCAAAAAUAAAUGUUUAUUGUUUUAAACCUCUGUUUUAGGGUCAUU
Molecule: long non-coding RNA, 4225 nt
Filed under: Homo sapiens (human)
Lineage: Eukaryota; Metazoa; Chordata; Mammalia; Primates; Hominidae
Description: LHRI_LNC1138.12
Source: RNAcentral